Molecule: long non-coding RNA, 2221 nt
Organism: Salvelinus namaycush (lake trout)
Lineage: Eukaryota; Metazoa; Chordata; Actinopteri; Salmoniformes; Salmonidae
Exons: 3
Source: RefSeq, a predicted model, not a curated record
GUUUGACCUGACAAUGUGAGGGGCUAAGGGUCAAGUUAUGGGAUAAUCUCAAUUAUAUUUAUUUGUUUCUUCACAUCCUCUCGCCUCCUGCUGAAAACACACAAGGAGAUCGAACACAAGCAGUCAAGGAAAUCAAUUGAGAUUCUCUCUCUGUCCGCAUCGAACGUUGGGCUUAAUCCACCUCUUCAUACUGUCCUGCAUGUCCACAACUGUCCACACGAUGGCGCCCUCUGCCCUGAAUAACAGCACUUCUCUCAGGAUCUGUUGGCCACUUGUUCGGUGUGUCAACUGCCUAAUAUUGAAUACUGACUUUAGACCCAGCAUUCUUCAGUAGCACAUUCAUAUAUGUCUGAAAGAACAACAGCUAAAUAUAUGCAAACUUCCAACGUGUUCUGCAUGUACAACGUGUGGUAAUCAGUUACAUAUGGGCAAUCCAUUGCUAUAGUUCAAAUUGAUGCCCUUUAUAAUUAAACUCUUGUCUGUCUUUGCCUUGCUAAGUUAGGUUUCCCAUAGUUCCUUGUCCAAAGGACUCACAAUGGGACCCCAGCUCUAUGGGUAUUAUCACGAUGCACAGUGGGACUGGACCCUGGUGUGUGUCCCAUCACGAUGCACAGUGGGACUGAACACUGGUCUGUGUCAGACUCUGAGCGUAAGAGGAUACAAGGAAGCUCUGUGAAACCCAACCCUCUCCCUGGGUCUUGUCUGUAGCCUGUAGCCGUACGGUUCCAGACAGCCAAUACGACUGUAACCAGCCAUGAAGUUCACAGUACUAGGUCUAAUAUAUGGUCCGGAGAAUACGUCUCAUGUCCAUUACCUUAGUUUAGUGUGAAUACUAGCAAGAGUACUCUACAGCAGUGGGGUAAAAAGAGACAGAGUCUAGACCAGCGUUCAGACAGGUUUUCAGACAGGUGUAAAUGUGUUACUACUCCCUGUAAUUCAGAGUUUAGACCAGCGUUCAGCCAGGUUUUCAGACAGGUUUUCAGCCAGGUGUAAAUGUGUUACUACUCCCUGUAAUUCAGAGUCUAGACCAGCGUUCAGCCAGGUUUUCAGACAGGUUUUCAGACAGGUGUAAAUGUGUUACUACUCCCUGUAAUUCAGAGUUUAGACCAGCGUUCAGCCAGGUUUUCAGACAGGUGUAAAUGUGUUACUACUCCCUGUAAUUCAGAGUCUAGACCAGCGUUCAGACAGGUUUUCAGACAGGUGUAAAUGUGCUACUACUCCCUGUAAUUCAGACAGGUUUUCAGCCAGGUGUAAAUGUGUUACUACUCCCUGUAAUUCAGAGUUUAGACCAGCGUUCAGCCAGGUUUUCAGCCAGGUUUUCAGACAGGUUUUCAGACAGGUGUAAAUGUGUUACUACUCCCUGUAAUUCAGAGUUUAGACCAGCGUUCAGCCAGGUUUUCAGACAGGUUUUCAGACAGGUGUAAAUGUGUUACUACUCCCUGUAAUUCAGAGUUUAGACCAGCGUUCAGCCAGGUUUUCAGCCAGGUUUUCAGACAGGUUUUCAGACAGGUGUAAAUGUGUUACUACUCCCUGUAAUUCAGAGUUUAGACCAGCGUUCAGCCAGGUUUUCAGCCAGGUUUUCAGCCAGGUUUUCAGCCAGGUGUAAAUGUGUUACUACUCCCUGUAAUUCAGAGUUUAGACCAGCGUUCAGCCAGGUUUUCAGCCAGGUUUUCAGCCAGGUUUUCAGCCAGGUGUAAAUGUGUUACUACUCCCUGUCAUUCAGACAGGUUUUCAGCCAGGUGUAAAUGUGUUACUACUCCCUGUCAUUCAGACAGGUUUUCAGCCAGGUGUAAAUGUGUUACUACUCCCUGUCAUUCAGACAGGUUUUCAGCCAGGUGUAAAUGUGUUACUACUCCCUGUCAUUCAGACAGGUUUUCAGCCAGGUGUAAAUGUGUUACUACUCCCUGUCAUUCAGACAGGUUUUCAGCCAGGUGUAAAUGUGUUACUACUCCCUGUCAUUCAGACAGGUUUUCAGCCAGGUGUAAAUGUGUUACUACUCCCUGUCAUUCAGACAGGUUUUCAGCCAGGUGUAAAUGUGUUACUACUCCCUGUCAUUCAGACAGGUUUUCAGCCAGGUGUAAAUGUGUUACUACUCCCUGUCAUUCAGACAGGUUUUCAGCCAGGUGUAAAUGUGUUACUACUCCCUGUCAUUCAGACAGGUUUUCAGCCAGGUGUAAAUGUGUUACUACUCCCUGUCAUUCAGAGUCUAGACCAGCGUUCA